RNAcentral lists this unclassified non-coding RNA (395 nucleotides) under soil metagenome. RNAcentral's name for it is "partial contains 5.8S ribosomal RNA, internal transcribed spacer 2, and large subunit ribosomal RNA". The stretch from base 1 to 122 matches the Rfam family "5.8S ribosomal RNA", at positions 35 to 154 of the family's 154-position model. The record is from RNAcentral.
GAUGAAGAACGUAGCGAAAUGCGAUACUUGGUGUGAAUUGCAGAAUCCCGUGGACCAUCGAGUCUUUGAACGCAAGUUGCGCCCGAAGCCAUCAGGUUGAGGGCACGUCUGCCUGGGCGUCACAUAUCGUUGCCCAAUGCCUAUUGCAGUGCAAUAGGAAUUUCUAGGGCGAAUGAUGGCUUCCCGUGAGCGUUGUUGCCUCGCGGUUGGUUGAAAAUCGAGUCCUUGGUAGGGUGUGCCAUGGUAGAUGGUGGUCGAGUUAGAACGAUACCGAUCAUGUGCAUGCUCCCCAAAAUAUGGCCUCUAUGACCCACACGCGUCUUUUGACGCUCAUGACGAGACCUCAGGUCAGGCGGGGCUACCCGCUGAAUUUAAGCAUAUCAAGAAGCGGAGGA